AUUGAACGCUGGCGGCAGGCCUAACACAUGCAAGUCGAACGGUAGCACAGAGAGCUUGCUCUCGGGUGACGAGUGGCGGACGGGUGAGUAAUGUCUGGGAAACUGCCCGAUGGAGGGGGAUAACUACUGGAAACGGUAGCUAAUACCGCAUAACGUCGCAAGACCAAAGUGGGGGACCUUCGGGCCUCACACCAUCGGAUGUGCCCAGAUGGGAUUAGCUAGUAGGUGGGGUAAUGGCUCACCUAGGCGACGAUCCCUAGCUGGUCUGAGAGGAGGGACGGCCACACUGGGACUGAGACACGGUCCAGACUCCUACGGGAGGCAGCAGUGGGGAAUAUUGCACAAUGGGCGCAAGCCUGAUGCAGCCAUGCCGCGUGUAUGAAGAAGGCCUUCGGGUUGUAAAGUACUUUCAGCGGGGAGGAAGGCGGUGAAGUUAAUAACUUCACCGAUUGACGUUACCCGCAGAAGAAGCACCGGCUAACUCCGUGCCAGCAGCCGCAGUAA
RNAcentral lists this ribosomal RNA (504 nucleotides) under uncultured bacterium. RNAcentral's name for it is "partial 16S ribosomal RNA". It matches the Rfam family "Bacterial small subunit ribosomal RNA", at positions 29 to 523 of the family's 1533-position model. The record is from RNAcentral.